AGAGUUUGAUCAGUGGCUACGAGAACGAACGCUGGCGGCAGGCUUAACACAUGCAAGUCGAACGGUUGUAGCAAUACAGCAGUGGCAGACGGGUGAGUAACACGUGGGAACCUUCCUAGGGGUACGGAACAACUCAGGGAAACUUGAGCUAAUACCGUAUACGUCCGUGAGGAGAAAGAUUUAUCGCCCUUAGACGGGCCCGCGUCGGAUUAGCUAGUUGGUGGGUAACGGCCUACCAAGGCGACGAUCCGUAGCUGAUCUUAGAGGAUGAUCAGCCACACUGGGACUGAGACACGGCCCAGACUCCUACGGGAGGCAGCAGUGGGGAAUCUUGGACAAUGGGCGCAAGCCUGAUCCAGCCAUGCCGCGUGAGUGAAGAAGGUCUUCGGAUUGUAAAGCUCUUUUGCCAGGGACGAUAAUGACGGUACCUGGAGAAUAAGCCCCGGCAAACUUCGUG
Molecule: ribosomal RNA, 457 nt
Filed under: uncultured bacterium
Lineage: Bacteria
Description: bacterial SSU rRNA
Rfam family: Bacterial small subunit ribosomal RNA
Source: RNAcentral